CCUCCUGGGCUGUGAGUGCCAACCCAAAGGCAGCUGGGAAAGGCAGCAACAACACAAGAGCUGGCCGCUCUGCGCUCAGCACAGACCAGCAAUAACCCCACGAAGACUGAGAUUUCUGAGUCUAAGAAUAACUGUUGGAGCUAAAAACCAUUGAGGACCAUCCAAGUUUCCACUUCAUAGCUUUGGGAUUGAGACUGGAAUGGGAAAAAGUAUUUGCCCGAGGCUCCAUCCCAUACUUUGAGGGACCCUGAAGGCUGUUCAUCAAGCUCCUCCUACACCUCCUGCAAACAGCCACCUCCGACCACACUUGGGAAGCAGGACCUGAAGAGGGCUGUCCAACCCUGGAAGCCGGCUCAGGACUGUUUAGGAUAAGAAUUCCAGGAUCCUGGGGAGCAACAUUUAGAGGAAGAGCUGGCAGUUCUGGAAACUUUUUCUGGCUCCUCAGACAACCCUGGCAAUAAUGGGGGAGAGAGAAGACCUUCUCCAGGCACUUUCCGCUGACCUGCAGCCAUGGGAGGGAGGGAACCCUUCCUCUGGAGCGAGUGGCCUGAGGGCCCAGUCAGUGCAGGGAGCUCCCUCAGUCCCUAAGCCAGGCCUGUGGCUCCUCUGACGCAGAGAACGGCAUCGCGCCCCUCCCAGCUCUUCAGAGGGCCUCCUGCUGCCUCAGAGGCCCGGGCCACCUCCUGCUCCAGGGCCUGGAGCUCCUGGGAAAUCCGGAGGCUGAGCCCUUCAGUCUGGAGGCAGGUGCUGCUGCUGCAUGUCGAGGCGGAGCUGAGGCGGUGGGCCUCACCCUGGGGUAGGAGAAGGGGAGGAUCUGAGAUGGAGCCCAAGAGGAGGGAACUCACGAGUGGGGGCUCCUGCUGAUGGGGCUCAACCCCAGGACAGAGCC
Molecule: long non-coding RNA, 889 nt
Filed under: Equus asinus (donkey)
Lineage: Eukaryota; Metazoa; Chordata; Mammalia; Perissodactyla; Equidae
Description: lncRNA (ENSEASG00005029558.1)
Source: RNAcentral